Erinaceus europaeus (western European hedgehog) is the source of this 268-nucleotide non-coding RNA. The record is from Rfam. Lineage: Eukaryota; Metazoa; Chordata; Mammalia; Eulipotyphla; Erinaceidae.
ACACAAUCUUAAAAUCUUAGAAGGUUCUUUCUAAAUAUUUAUUUUGAUUUUUAAUCUAUAAAGAUAAUGGAAUGUGUUUAUUAGACUGAAUUUUAUCUUAUCCUCUUUCUCCCAAGUGUACUCUUAAUAGUUGUCAGUUUUCCCUCAGUGUUGGAUUUAAUUAAACAGGACUAAAAUACUUCUCAGUAAUACUACUCUGGCUAAAUAUCUGUCACUAAAUAGUUGUGGUUCUGACUGUAAGAAGCAGCUUAAUUACAAAAAUCUUAUU